GAUGAACGCUGGCGGCGUGCCUAAUACAUGCAAGUCGAGCGAACGGACGAGAAGCUUGCUUCUCUGAUGUUAGCGGCGGACGGGUGAGUAACACGUGGAUAACCUACCUAUAAGACUGGGAUAACUUCGGGAAACCGGAGCUAAUACCGGAUAAUAUUUUGAACCGCAUGGUUCAAAAGUGAAAGACGGCCUUGCUGUCACUUAUAGAUGGAUCCGCGCUGCAUUAGCUAGUUGGUAAGGUAACGGCUUACCAAGGCAACGAUGCAUAGCCGACCUGAGAGGGUGAUCGGCCACACUGGAACUGAGACACGGUCCAGACUCCUACGGGAGGCAGCAGUAGGGAAUCUUCCGCAAUGGGCGAAAGCCUGACGGAGCAACGCCGCGUGAGUGAUGAAGGUCUUCGGAUCGUAAAACUCUGUUAUUAGGGAAGAACAUAUGUGUAAGUAACUGUGCACAUCUUGACGGUACCUAAUCAGAAAGCCACGGCUAACUACAUG
This 497-nucleotide ribosomal RNA is filed under the name uncultured bacterium. Its description in RNAcentral is "partial 16S ribosomal RNA". It matches the Rfam family "Bacterial small subunit ribosomal RNA", at positions 28 to 507 of the family's 1533-position model. The record is from RNAcentral.